UUUUUUUUUUUUUUUUGUACUAUUAGAUUCCCUUUACGAAGCCCACUAUCAUAAUAUCUCAAAAUCUUCUCCCCAAAAUUACUAAUAUGCCCCCCACCCCUCAAAUAUAUAUAUAUAUAUAUUAUAUGUAUGUAUGUAUGUAUGUUGGUGGAUGAUAUAUACAUAUACAGAUAAUAUCUAUAAGAGUAGAUGUGGUACCUAGCUUUUCCGUUCCUAGGUAUUCUAAGCCUACCCAAUAAAAGACAUUUGCAUGUAAAGGAAAAAGAAAGACUCUUCCAAACUACCUACCAUGCAUUACUAUUUUGUUUUCUCAUACAUUUUGGUUUUAAUCAAUAUUUGAUUUGUUUCUUGAAUUUUCUUCAAGAUAUAACAGAUGGUGUGAUAAUAUUAAUUAAUAAAACUGAAUUUUAUUUUUUAAAUAUAAUUAUAUAAAUUUCAAAAUAUUAAAGAACUAAAUCCAUUGGUUAACUAUGUCAACCAAAUAUAAUAAAUAGAUAACUUGUUAAACUACAGUUUAUUUAAUAUUUUUACUUAUUUAAAUGUAUGUUGAAUUAAAACUAUAAAAAAAAAAAAAAAAACUCAUAUUUUAAAGGCUUAGAAUACUAAGUUAUUAUUAUAUUUUAAAUAAAAAUAUAAAAUUGACUCAAGAACUUCCAAAUCGAAUAUUUUUACAGUAAAAUAAUAUUCGUAAAAAAAUGCUCAUGUUAUAAUUCAAAUCUCUAUUUUAUUUCAUAAUAAAUACUAAUAAGUAACAACAUGCCACAGGUCAAACACCCCAUCAUAGAACUUUAAUAAUAAUAAUAAUAAGAAGCUAAUAAAUAAAUAAAAUUGCUGGCGUCUGCUAACGUGACACUGCUCUGUCAGUUCUAACUUUACAAACCAAUAAAAAAACAAUUAUUAGGGUUUGAAGAAAUGAAAAACAAACAAACAGAACAAAACAAAAAUAGACCGGUAUGCUUUCCCACGCUAAUACCAGGCGCGUUCGCUGCAUCUCCCCAGUUCACGCUCGCGGCGAACUCCGCCAAAAAAACCACGUGAUCAGACACGCUUCGAAAGUAGCGUGAGAUUCACACUCCCUCAACAACAAACAACCUAAUAACAAUCUCAACAGUCUUCGCCAAAUUCAAAUUAAGCUACAGUCACAAGACAGUGAUACUAACGACUAUAACGUUACCAACCAGAAGCUGCCACGUAUGAGGAUCGAGGAACCCCUCGCCUGUCAUCCGAAAUUUCCCUUAUCCUUUACUGGUAGCCUGGUAUCACAGGAAUAAAAUUAGAAAUAUUUAAAAAGAAAAUUCAGAAUAAAAAGUCUCCUCUUCCCUACUCCUACACUGCAGUGUUGAAGAACACUCAGCCCAGCAGAAUAAUAAACAGACUUUCUCAGUCAAUUCACCAUCUAGCUUAGUUUUAUGAAAUUGUAACUUCUCGCCUCUGUUUCCUUCUUAUUAACGGAAAUGCCAUCACGAGCCUCACCUCCGCCGGUGGCGUAUUCGCAGAAUCAUCACCGGAACCAUUUUCACACCCUCCCGCCGCUUCUCGCCGGGAUAGUGACGCUAACCCUAGCUCUGCUCGUUCUCUUCGUUUUUCUUCUCUACCGCAAGCUCUCCCGCAACCGCACGGCUCCCUCUGACCUCAUCAUCAAGUCCCCAAACCACCAGCAAUGCCGAAGAUUCUCUUACUCUCUCCUCCGUCGAGCCACUAACUCCUUUGCUCCUUCCAACCGGCUUGGCCAUGGAGGUUUCGGUUCUGUCUAUAAAGCCGUUUUGCCUUCCUCGUCGCAGUCCCUCGCUGUCAAGGUCAUGGAUUCUUCCUCGGGCUCACUUCAAGGGGAGCGUGAGUUUCACAACGAACUCUCCUUAUCUUACUCUCUCAACUGCCCUCACAUUGUUUCCCUUCUCGGCUUCUCCUCGGAUCACCGUGGCCGCAGAUUUAUCCUCGUUUACGAGCUCAUGGAAAACCGGAGUUUGCAGGAUGCGUUGUUGGAUCGGAAAUGCGAAGAGCUGAUGGACUGGAACAAAAGGUUUACUAUUGCCGCAGAUGUGGCUAGGGGUAUUGAGUUCCUUCACCACUGCUGCGAUCCUCCGGUUAUUCACAGUGAUAUCAAGCCCAGCAACAUUCUGCUAGAUGCUAAUUUCAAGGCGAAGAUUGGGGAUUUCGGACUGGCGAGAGUGAAGAGCGAGGAUUUAAAUGUUAUGGAGGAGGAAAGGAAGAAGGAAGGUGUGGAAGAUAAUGGGUCGAUUUUGGAGGAGACGGAUAGUGUGAUGACUGGAUAUGAUGUUGUUGAUCAGUCGCCGGAGAGUUGCGUGAUUAGGGUAGUCGAUUCGGAGGCGUCGCCGGAGACAGUUGCGGGUGUCUCACCGGAGGUGGGUUUGGAGAAGGGGAGUGUAUCCGAGGGCUGUUUUGAUAAGUUUAGUGUUGACAGUGGCAAAGACUUGAUCUCCGGUGGUGGUAAAAAGUGGGGUUCAAGGAGAGAUUGGUGGUGGAAACAGGAUAAUGGAGGUGAGUCUGAGUCAGGCAGAGUGAAGGACUACGUGGUGGAGUGGAUUGGGAAUGAGAUAAAGAAAGAGACACCCAAAAACGAAUGGGUUGCAUCCACUAGUUCUGUGGAUAAUGGUGGGCUGACCUCGAAAAUUGAACAGAAGAAGGAAAAGGUUAGAAAGAAAGAGAAGAAUAGGAAGCCAAGGGAAUGGUGGAAGGAAGAGUUCUGCGAAGAACUCACCAAGAAAAAGAAGAAAAGAGCGCUUAAUUCGACUGGUAGCGCUGAGUUUUGGUGGCAAAAAGAUGAGGAAUCUGCGCAAGAGAGGAAGAAGAAGAAGAAGAGCAAGAGCAGUAGAAGCAGCAUUGACUGGUGGCUAGAUGGGUUUAGCGGCGAAUUGAGGAAUGGGAGAAGAAAUAGUCAGGAUUGGGCAAAUUCAGACAUACCCAAAAGCGGUGGUGUUAGUAGCACGCCGAGCAUGAGAGGAACCGUUUGUUACAUCGCUCCCGAAUAUGGAGGUGGUGGUGUACUCUCAGAGAAGUGUGAUGUUUAUAGCUUUGGAGUCCUGCUUUUGGUUUUAGUUUCAGGGAGGAGGCCCCUGCAAGUAACGGCAUCACCAAUGUCCGAAUUCGAAAGGGCUAAUUUGAUAUCUUGGGCUAGGCAACUUGCCUAUAACGGCAGGCUUUUGGAUCUUAUUGAUCCUUCCAUAGAUUCAUUAGAUAAAGAUCAGGCAUUGCUCUGCAUUACAAUUGCACUACUUUGUUUGCAAAGAUCACCGGAGAAACGGCCCACGAUGAAAGAAAUUGUUGGGAUGCUCUCUGGCGAGGCCGAGCCUCCCCAUUUGCCAAUUGAGUUCUCACCGUCUCCACCCACGAAUUUCCCUUUUAAAUCUCGGAAGAGGGCACGGUGAGUUUACGGAGUUUUCUCUUAAGUUUUGAUUGACUGUAGAAUUUGUACUAUUGUAGCUCUGUAGGUAAUUUGUGAUUAGCAUUAUCUUUCAUAUAACACGUUUGCAAGAAUGGAAGGAGGUAAUUGCAUUUUUCAUGUUUUCCAUCUCAUUUUGCAAUGGUUUUAUGUUUAGGAAAGACUCUUCUUUACUCUUGCAGUUUUGAAUUUUGAUUCUUGGACAUGUUUGGUUAUUGGGAAUCCCAGAAUCAGGGAUAAACUUGAACGUUUGAUAGACGCUGCUUUUUCAACUUUUCCCUGUGUUGAAGCCAACCCAACGAGGCUUCACAAACAAGUUUACUUUUGUCGUGAAGAGGGGCCUCGGCUGACAUGUUUGCUUUGCAUGACUUUUGCACCUUAGGGGCCCGGAAGAUAUAUCCUUUAUUGUUGUCUGCUACCUUUCGAAAGGUAAUAUGAUUUACGUGCUAAAGUGACAUGGAAUUCAGUAAAGAUGGAGAAAAUCUUGGUCCCAGUUUGUCAUAUUGGAUAAUGAUAUGGGUCAUAUGAAACCCUGAUGCCCACAGGCAUGAACACCCUUACACGCGCAGAUUGAGAGGGAGUGGGGGGAGAUAGUGGAAGAAAAGUGAUAUAAUGUACACAGAUAUUGUCAUGUAGUUGUUUAACCUGUUCUAUAAAGUUACCCUCAAAAAGAAAGAAGAACCUUUUCCAGAAAGUAUGUUAUUGUAUACACUAGUCGUUUUUCCCGUCAGCUCCCAUAUGUGUAUACAUCUUUUAUCCAGAAAUAUGUGGGGGAGCAAUAUGCGAGAUUCGUGAAGGGUAGGGCGUCCUUUAGAAACUAUUGAAAUUAGGUUCUGAACGGGAUUUAGAAUUUUCUACUCUCCAAUCUAUAAUACAUGGUGAAUUCAGUUAUAUAUUUCUCACGUAGAAUAGACUACACUAAAUAAAUAUUGGGUACUUAGUGUUUCUUUGCAAAAUAAUUAAAUUUGGCAUGUGUCAAGAAUCUUUAACAUGCACCCAGUUACGGCUUAAGAGUGUAAGAAAGAAAGAGAAUAGAAUGGAGAAAUAGGAAGAAGACAGGAUACCCGGCAAGAAUUCUGAGAACAGAUAGAUUUUUUUAUUUUAUUACUACUCAUCAUGAUUGAAAGACUAGAUUAUAGACCUAUAUGUGCUCCUCCGGAAAAUCAAGCCCACAAUCUAACAGAAAAAUCUUGCGAAUCUACUCUGUUUCCGGGUCUAUUCUUUUCCUCGUGAGCUCAGGCUGUGACAACAUGCUCGAAAUUAGAAGUGAAACUUGAAACAAAUUGCCUCAGUUCUGCUGUGUCAUUUUAGAUUAUUUCUCUAAUUGGAAGUAAAUGUAGAUUUCGAGAAGAAAAUCCUACAAAAAUAGUUUCAAAAAUAGUUAUUGAAUUUAGGAUUCGUCUGCCUCAUAUCUUUUUAAUUCUCACACAAAAUCUUUAAUAGCUCAUUUGUUUACCUGGAACAUUUAUCUGCUGCAUAGUAUGUUUUGUAGAUGUUCUUUCUGAAGCUUCAUGAAUUGUUUUCUGAUACCGUCCAUAAAGCUCCACACUAUAUCAGCGGCUUUAAUGCUCAUUGAACCACUUACAUGGUUUCUUUUAUACCCUGAAUUUAAGCUCUACGGUCUGUGAAUUCUGUCUCUGUUCUCGUUCUGUUUUUUUAGGGAACUUGAAUACUCCUUUAAGGGGGGGGUGGGGGGGGGGCUGCUAUAAUUUUCAGUGAAGUAACAGUAACACAUUGAAUAUCAGUUUUCAGCAUUGGCCCCUUCUACCAAUCAUUCACCCGAUAGUAAUGAAUUUCUAUUCUAAAGCUUCCAGAUUUAUUUUUGUAUGUAUGAUAUAAUUGCGGGUAAGUGGCCGCAGAGAAUUAAUUAAAAUCAGCACUUGACGGUGCGUGUCUUGUGGAUCUGAAUCCAGUCUAUUCGCCUCAUCUUUAACCUUCUUCUGCUUCUUCUUCUUCUUCUUCUUCUUCUUACUUCAAUUGUCUGCAAGGAAGAAGUAAACAAUAAAAAAAUUUGGAAUAAUAAAAUGUUAUUUUAAACUCACUUUCUAUUUUCACUAUCAUUCUCUCUACUUUUACUUUUUAAUUGGUUUAAUAAAUAUGUGAAGUUAUAAAUUAAAAAUUCAAAUUGGUUUUCCAUACUUAAAUCGGGCAAACAAAUUUAUCCUACUUAUUUUCUUUAAUUAUUAUAUUAAGUACUAUUAUAAUAUUUUAAUUCCCUUAAUUAACAUCCUCUAUUCCCGACAAAAAUCAUUUAUGGGAGUUUUCAACUACUUCAAAUUGAGAUCAACAAUCCGCUAAAUGCUAUUAAGUCUAUCUACUUAAAACCCGUCUACGAUACGAUAAAAGGAUCGUCCACCAAGAUAACGGUGGUUAUUAAAAACGUAAACAAAUACGAGCAUAUUUGUGAAAUUUUUACAUAAAUGAACUGAUUACAUUUUAUUUGUAAAUCUAUCUGACUCCUCAUAUAUAUGUAUACGUAUAUAUGAAGCGCAUUAUAAUUGCCUCUUAUCCUCUAAAGAUCAUUUGAGUUGGCUUAAAAUCUUCCACAAGCCCAAAUACCAAAGGAGAUACUCCAACCAACCACCCACCCUAAUUAUUAUCAUUAUUACUACACCUGAAAAAGUUGGACCACCAUUUCCAAUUUCCCUCCUUUCUUCUCCCCUCUCAAACACUAGUUUCUACUUGCUAAAACAGAAGUGAAUUAAGAGCGGAAGUAAAUCUGAUUAAAUGGUAUUUCUCUUUUUGGACUUCAAAAAUUUGUAUAUAAAGGGCUAUUAUAAUAUUCCUAACCAAAAACCAUUCUUAACACCAUCCUCUUCCCAUCUCAGUACCCAAAUUUCUUAAGUCUCUUUCUCUCGCUCUCUCUCCGCCAUGGCAGACAACACCCCAAUUGCACCAUCUGAUUCUUCAAUUCCCAACGAGUUCCUCAAAAUUACACUAAACCCAGAUGGCUCCUUCAAUCGGUACAACCAUACUCCAAACGUGCAACCCUCCGAUUCCGACUCAACCCUACUCACCCUCUCAAAAGACAUCCCUCUAAACCAUGCCAACAACACCUUCAUUCGCUUAUUCAUGCCUAAAAACAUCCCUCCAAACACUAAGCUCCCUCUUAUAAUCUUCUUCCAUGGCGGCGGCUUUGUCCUUUUCAGCGUUGCCUCGUUACCUUACCACGAAUCCUGCAUUCAAAUGGCCGCUCAGAUCUCAGCUCUCAUCCUGUCCGUUGAAUAUCGACUGGCCCCCGAACACCGCCUCCCUGCGGCGUACGAUGACGCCGUUGACUCCGUCAUGUGGGUCCGCAACCAGGCGAUGGACAUCGACGGCUGUGAUUCGUGGUUGAGGGAUCACGCGGACUUCUCCAAGUGUUUCUUGAUGGGGAGCAGUGCGGGCGGGAACAUGGUGUACCAUGCAGCCUUACGUGCGGUCGACGUGGACCUGUCUCCUCUGCAAAUCGCAGGGCUGAUAUUGAAUCAGCCUUACUUCGGUGGGGUCGAGAGGACGGAGUCAGAGAUGAGGUUCGUCAACGAUCGGAUUCUCCCGUUGCCCGCUAAUGAUCUGCUGUGGUCGCUUGCGCUGCCUGACGGAGCUGACCGUGAUCACGAGUAUUCCAAUCCAAUGGCGUGCGAGGGUGGAUCGUGUGGGGAGAAGAUCGGACGGCUACAGAGAUGCUUGGUGACGGGGUAUGGAGGGGACCCACUGCUGGAUAGGCAGAAGGAGGCGGUGAAGAUGCUGGAGUCACGUGGGGUGCACGUGGAGACACGCUUUGAUCAUGAUGGUUUUCACGCGGUGGAACUGUUUGACCCGGUUAGGGCCCGAGGUCUUUACGAGCGAUUCAAGGAGUUCAUUAGAGCUGCUUGCGGGAGCUGCAAUGUCAGUGGGGUUAAAGCCCAAUCAGCUAUAUAAAGAUUUUUAGUAUAUUUAUUUUGAAUUUAAUAUAAUUAUGAAUUUAACAGUUAAAAAAGUUUUUAAUUUUUAUAGUUGUGUACGUACCCUCAGCAUUUUGUUUUAUGAUAUCAGUCUUAUUUGGAAUGAAAAUAUGUUUUGUAGUUUUGUUUAAAACAAAUAUAUAAAAACGGCGUCGAAUUGAGAGGUGUGAUGGUAUUAGAUGGGCCGCCCAUUCAUAUAAAAGGGGUUUAUGGUAUUAUAGGGUAUGCGUACUUGGACGCAUUGAAAUCAUUUAAAGUAGCAAGUGAGAGAGAGCCAUUUAGUCUCUCCAAUUCUGAAGUUUGUAUAAGUGAAGAAAAAAAAAAUAUAUAUAUAUAUAUAUUUUAAAUCUAACAUCUAACCCAUUGUGAUCUUAGAAAUAAAUAUGAAUCUUGUCAUAUAUAUACAUUUAUGUGGUUAAAUGCAUUUGGAGUGAUAUUACAACAGCCGUCAAUGAUUACGACCAUUUGACCCGACAAAUCAGUUGACUCAAACCCUCUUCACUCUCCUACUCGGGUGUUCGACCGCUCAAAAUAACCCUAAUUCACGCCGUGCCCCCAAAAAGAUUCACCCCCUAUACUCUUCAAUACAUAUAUUAAUUAAGAAAAAAAAAAAAAGAAACAAGUUGCAGAGUGAAAACUCAGAAUCUCAUGUUUAUGAUCUUAAAAACAUUCUACAUCCCUCCAAAAAUUACCAAGAUCAUCAUCGAUCAUUAGGAAAUUACCCUAACCAUGUCGCAAGCUCAAAUCGAUCCUUACGACCACCUCAACAUCGUCUUGAACACUGAUGGCACCUGCAAUCGCCUCUUCGACGUCCCAUCAGUUGCCGCCAACCCUAACCCAGCUCAGGGAGAGCCUGCCGCCUCCAAGGACGUUAUCAUUAGCCCAGUAACCGAUGUCACCGCUCGCAUUUUCAGACCUACCAAUCUUCCUUCAAACGACAACGCCAUUGCUCGUCUACCCAUCAUCAUCCACUUCCACAACAGCGGUGGGUGGACCCUUUACGACGCCACCACCGCCAUAAACCACAUGACCUGCGCUCAGACCGCCAGUGAGCUCACCGUCAUUCUCGUUUCCGUCAACUACCGGCUCGCCCCCGAGAAUCGUUUACCAGCUCAGUUCGACGACGCCAUUGACGCCAUCACUUGGGUGAAGGACCAGGCUCUUGCCCCAGAUGGCGAACCCUGGCUCAAAGAGUACGGAGACUUCUCGAGGUGCUACCUCUUCGGAUCUAGCAACGGAGCCAACAUCGCUUUCAACGCCGCGUUACGCACACUGGAUUGCGAUCUGAACCCAAUGAAAAUCAGCGGCUGUAUAUUCUAUCAACCCAUGUUUGGAGGGAAAAACAGAACGAGAAACGAGAUAGCGAAUAUCAACGACCCGUUAAUGCCUUUGGCAGUACAAGAUCUGUUGUGGGAGCUGGCGUUGCCGCCGGGGGUUGACCGGGAUCAUCGGUACUGUAAUCCGUUGAUCGAAGGGCCGCAUACGAAGAAGAUGGCGUCGCUAGGGCGAUGUCUUAUCGUAGGGUACGGCGGAGACUCGAUGGUUGACCGGCAGCAGGCGUUUGUUAAAAUGUUGGUGGCGCUCGGAGUUAGAGUCGACGCUCGGUUUGACGACGCCGGGUUCCAUGGGAUUGAGGCUAUUGACCCUCGACGAGCUGCUCGGCUUCUUAAUUUGACGAGAGAAUUUAUCAUAUGACUCUUUUUUUUUUGUUCAUUAAAAUUUUGUUUACCAUUUUCAUAUAUAUAUGUAUAUGUAUUAGCAGUAGAUAUAAUUAAAAAAAAAAAAAAAAGAAUUAAACGGUCAGGUUCUUUAUAAUAUUUAUGGGUCUAAGAUUAAAAGCAUGCAUCGUGCAGGAUGGAGAUUAAUACAUACACACACACACACACACACACACACAAUAUAUAUUUACCACCUGUAUAAAUACAUAUAUAUUAUGGGUUAUUUUGUUUAUCAGUUUAUUUGGCUAAAAUUGGUCCAAAAUAUUUUUUUAUUUUAUUUUAUACUCUUUUUUCACCGGGCUAUGGGCUAUAUUAGCAUUAGAAAAAAGCGGAUUUGAUAGAUUUAUUAAAGUAGAUUUUCAGUGUUUUCUAUGCACAUGUUCUAAUUUUAGAAGAUUUUUUUAUUAUUAUUAUUUUUUUUACCAUUUUAUAAGAAAUAAUAUAAAUAUUAUUAUUUUCUAUACAUAAAAAUUCUAUAAAAAUAAAAGAAUUUCCAAUGAAAAUAUAAAAUAAGACCUUUCUGCUUUUUAAUCAGAUUUCUUUAACGCAUGUGUAAAUUUAUGUUAUCAAAUUAAAAAUAAAUAUUCUUUGUAAUUAAAAUAUUCCCUUCAAUAUUUCUGUAUCACAAUAUAAUAAUUUAUAAAUUAAUAGUCGCUUGAAUAAAUUGAAAAUGUAAACAGUAUAUUUAUAUAUUACCAACUUUUUCAUCAAUCCGAAAGUUACAAAUAUCUAAAAGAAUAUUCUUCCCACAUCUGUUACAAAUUCAACCAAAAUUGCAGCCAAGGAAAAUAUUUUAUUGAAUUAUUCAAUAUGCAUUUAUUUUUUCAUUGAUGGACGGACAUGUCUAUAGGGCGAGAGCUCUAAUUUUAUGUUAUACUUUCCUUUAGUUUUUAUGUGCAUACUUUUUUUUUUUUUAUUAUUCUUUGUAAAAAUUAUAAUAGAUGCAUUGUCACAAUAUAUUUUUACUUUUUUAAAAAGACUUCGGAAUAAAGAUAUAUAUAUAUAUAUUUUUGUUAUACACUACAAUCAGAAUGAAUAAAUAUCAAUUAUUUUCUCUUUUUUUAGCAAAAGAUGUGAUUUAAAGAAAAUAUUUAUAGCAUUUACUUAUUUAUAUACUAUUGUCUAUGAAAAAAAAAUACUUUUAUUGAUGAAUUAAUAUUGGAUAAAAUAACAACAUUAGUGGAUUAAUGACAUAUAAUUAAUAGUUGUAUAAUACUUUAUGAUAGUGAAAAAAAAAAAUUAGAGUAAGAUAUUUUUCCUAUUAAACUUAUAAGAAUCAACUUUAUUUAUUUUUAUUAAAUAAUUUAACAAUUUUUAAUAUAAAUAUUAGAGUGAUAAGAUUCUGUAGAUAAUCUUCUGUUGUAUCAGUUUCUCAUUACAACUCAAACUUGUGUAUUAGUAUAAAACUACAACUCUUGUAAUCUUUGGCUUUAAAUAGCCUCUUAAGUAUCAAUAAUAAAACAGAUCAACAAUAUAAAAUUUAUCAUGGUAUCAGAGCCACUGGGCAACAAAAUAUGAUUUUUCUCUCCACAGUGGGCACGUCUCUUUUGCACAAGUGUUCAUUGUGCAUCGUCUUUUCUAGGAUCGUCAGACGCGUAGCCUGAAGCUGCUGGAGCUGCUGCCAUUCUUCCAUCACAUCUCUCUCAUGUUUACCAUAUGCAUCACCACACCAUGUCCAUGCAGUGCAUCGCCGAUCCCACCUUACUAUACNNNNNNNNNNNNNNNNNNNNNNNNNNNNNNNNNNNNNNNNNNNNNNNNNNNNNNNNNNNNNNNNNNNNNNNNNNNNNNNNNNNNNNNNNNNNNNNNNNNNNNNNNNNNNNNNNNNNNNNNNNNNNNNNNNNNNNNNNNNNNNNNNNNNNNNNAUAUCUCUUUUUUAAAGUCAUGUAACCAUGAUAGAGGUCCAAAAGUUGUCACUUAGUUUGAUAAUCUCAAAAUCUAUCAAUUUUUAAUGGGGUUAGAUGAAUCCUAUAGUACCAUUCGCACUCAGAUUACAAACAUAGAGCCUCUAUAUGAUAUAAAUAAAGUAUAUGUCAUGAUCACUCAGGAAGAAAGUCACAGGUCUGUUGUGCAGGCUCAUGAAAAUUCUGCUGCAUUUGGGUUUGUCGUACAGUCAAACACCUUACACCCAAUUAAGGCCCAAUCUUCAUCAUCAUCACCAUCACUCUCCGACAGACCUUUUUGCAUUUACUGCCAAUGCCAGGGACAUACUUAUGAUUGGUGCUGGACAAGACUUAGUAUAUCUCCUUCCCAAAAUAAGGGAAGAGGUCAUGGUUACGGGCACAGAACAUCUCGUCCUAUUAAGCCCCACCUAUUCCAUCUGCUGUUGCAGUCCAAGUUACUCCAUCUGAGCAUGCAUCUCCAGUAGCAACAAAUGUUGUGCAUCCUGCCCAGUCUGCUCCGUCCAUCCUUGGUCUCACCAUCGAGCCAAUCCACCGACUGUUUACUUUAAUUGAACCUUCAUCUACAUCCAACCUUCUUUCUGGUAAGCAGGCACAUAAGGAGCAAUGAAUAAUUGAUAGUGGGGUUUCUCAUCAUAUGCCGGGUACUCUCUCUUUGUUACAUAAUGUUCAUGAUAUCUCUCCAUCCUUUGUUAGAUUAUCCAACACGAAACAAGCUUCAACAAUUAAGGAAGACUCAAUUAUUUUACAAUCUGAAUUUAUUUUACAAUAUGUUCUAUAUGUUCCCAACUUUACUGUGAAUCUUGCUUCUAUUAAAAAAUUAAUUUGUGAUUUAGACUAUUUACUGACUUUCACUCAUUGUUACAGGACUGCAUCAUGAGGAACCUGAUUGGAUUAGUUGAGCUGUAGAAUGGAGUCUAUAUCUAUAAACCUGUCUUCAACGCGGUAGCAUAUGCAAUCCAUGGCUAAAAUUCCUACGAACUGUGGCAUCGUCGGAUGGGACAUCUCUCCCUUAAAUCAUUAUCUAUGUUGCCUAUUUCUGGUUCUAAAUUAAGUUUGCAUGCACCGAAUAAACUUUAUGAUAUUUGUUGUCGAGUAAAACAAACUCGAAAUAACUUUCUUCUUAGUACUAGUUGUGCUACAGACAUAUUUGAAUUGAUUCAUUAUAAUAUUUGGGGUCUACACCGUAGUUCUACUUUUUGUUGUGUUUGGCAUUUUCUAACUAUUAUUAAUGACUGAAGUAGUGCUAUUUGGGUAUAUUUGAUGCGUGAUAAAAGUGAAGUUAGCCAUUUGUUACGCAAUUUUUGUAUCAUGAUUCAUACUCAGUUUGAUAAAAAGGUAAAAACUAUUCACAAUGACAAUGGGUUAGAGUUUACUUCUAAUUCUAUGAAACAAUACUAUGUGGAUAAUGGUAUUCUCCAUCAAACUAUCCUUGUUGACACUCCCCGACAAAAUAGUCGUGUCGAGCGCAAGCAUCGACAUAUCCUCAACGUUGCCCGAGCCUUACUUUUUCAAGCUUGCCUUCUUAUUGAAUUUUAGGGUGAAUGUAUCUUUACCGUUGUACAUUUAAUUAACUAUACUCCUACUUCGGUUCUACAUGGUCUCACCCCCCACAGAAAAUUAUUUUCUUCACCACUUUCAUUAUCACAUCUCCGAACUUUUGGUUGUUUGUGUUACGCACAUCACAAGUCUAGUUCCCAUGAUAAAUUUUCACCGCGAAGUUGUCGUGUAUGUUUUUGGGGUACCCACAUGGAAAAAAGGGAUGGAAAUUAUUGAAUUUAAAACAUAUGAAAUUUUUGUGUCCUAAGAUGUAUUCGAUGAAAACUUUUUUCCGUACUCAUGUUCUGCACCUCUUACUCAGUCUCUCACAUAAUCCACUGCCUCUCAUCAAUUCAAUGUUGACUGAAACCGGCCAAUUUCCCAUCUCAUCUCCUUGAGCUCUCUAAUAGGGGGAGUUGUGUCCAGUCCUUACAACACCACUUGUCCAACACCACAUCAUCUUCUAUUGUCGAACCCCCUCUUAUUUUACUUUUAGACACGUCCCAACAGAAUGCUCAACCAGCUUUACCCGAACAGCCCAUGUAGAUGUUGGGCCAUGGCCAUUGCUUUUGAUAUCUUUUGUCUCAUCUUUGGGACUAUGUUUAUUACACCGCACAGGUUAAAGACCCCUCUCCACUCAUCUCUACCCAUGGUGGUUCCUCAGGUAUGCAAUAUCCUUUACUUAACUAUGUCUCAUGUGACUAAUUUUCUGCUAAUCAUAAGAUUUUUCUUGCUAUUGUUUCCAUUAGGGUUGAACCCUGAACUUUCCUCGAAGCCAUGCAGGAUCCUAAAUGAUGCGAGGCCAUCCGUGCUAAGAUUGAUACUCUUGAAAAAAUUUGUACAUGGACACUUAAGACUCUCCCUCCAGGUAAAAAGUCGAUUGGUUGUAAAUGGGUAUACAAAAUCAAAUAUCACUCUGAUGGUUCUAUUGAAUGCUACAAAACCCGAUUGGUAGUCUGUGGUGAUAAUUAGGUUGAAGAAUUGGAUUUCAAUGAAAAUUUUGAUCAUAUAGCUAAGUUGGUAAACGUUUGUGUCUUUUUAGCUGUUGUUGUUACUAAAGGUUGGGAGCUGCAUCAAAUAGAUGUCAAUAAUGCGUUCUUGCACGUAGAUCUUCAUGAAGAGGUUUAUAUGUGGUUGCCUCCUGGGUUUUCUGUCCAUCACCCAGAUAAGGUUUACUGGCUGCGGAAGUCUAUCUAUGGCCUUUGACAAUCUUCCUGCAACUAGUUCAUUAAACUUGUUUAUUAUCUUCAUCAUUAUGAUUUUUACCAAUCCCAUACAAAUCACACUUUGUUUACAUAUCGCAAAAAAGAUGUUUUUUUAAUAGUGUUUGUAUAUGUUGAUGAUCUCAUCUUAGCAGGCAAUAACUCUCAAGCAUGUUAGUCAUUCAAGAAUUAUCUUAAUGCUUAUUUUCAUAUAAAGGACCUAGUAACCUCAAAUAUUUUAUCGGUAUCAAAGUAGCACGUAAUUCUAAUGGUCUUUUCUUGUGCCAAUGUAAAUACACAUUGGAUAUCUUGCAGGAAUCUGGCCUUACUGCUGCCAAACUAACAUUUAUACCCAUGGAACAGAAUCACUAUUUGGCUUAUGCAUUUGGUCCAUUUCUCAUUAACCUUAGACAAUAUCAUCGCUUUGUUGGUUGUUUGGUAUUUCUAAUUAUCACGAGGCCUAACUUAUGUUAUUCGGUCCACAUUUUGUCUCAAUUUCUUCAUGUGUUAUAUCAAGUACAUAUGGAUACUGCUUUACACAUACUACGUUGUCUCAAAGGCUCCCCAAGAUAAAGAAUUUUUAUGAACACCAAUAGCUUUUUGCAAUUGUUCGCAUAUUGUGAUUUCAAUUAGAUUGCUUAUUCGUUGACUUGCCAUUCAUUGUGUAUUUAUUUUAUGCAUCUUGGUGUCUCACCUAUCUCUUGGAAGACCAAGAAAUAACUUAUUGUGACUCACUCAUCUGCUGAAGCUAAAUAUCGUGUUAUCAUUGUUACUACUUGUGAGCUCACAUAGCUUAAAUCCUUUCUAGCUUUAUUCGAUGUAUUUCACAAGCAACUCAUGCGGCUUUUCUGUGAUAACCAGGUCACACUUCACAUUGCUUCCAAUCUGGUCUUUCAUGAACGAAAAAAAUAUAUCGAAGUCGAUUGUCAUUAUGUGCAGGAACAACUUUUGGCAGGUAAUAUCUCUACUUCAUUCCUACGCUCCUCUCAACAACUUGAAGACCUUUUCACCAAAGCUCUUGGAUGCUAGCAGUUUCAUACAUUAUUGAGCAAGUUAGGCGUUCAAAAUCCUCAUACUCUAACUUAAGAGGGAGUAUCAAGGAUAACUAUAAAUAUCAUUGUGAUAAGAUUCUACAAAUAAUCCUCUGUUAUAUUAGCUUCUCACUACAACUCAAACUUGUCUAUCAGUGUACAACUACAAUUCCUGUAAUCUUUAGCUUUAAAUAGCCUCUUGAGUAUCAAUAAUAAAACAGAUCAACAAUAGAAAGUUUAUCAAUUUGAUUUUAAAUAAGAUCUUACCUAUAAUAUUAUUAUUAUCCACCACUUCUAACAAAUAUAAAAGAUAACAUGUGUCGAGGUAAAUUAGCUAUUUAAAUAUACACUAAGCUGUCUUUGUAUUCAACAGAUUCUAUAAAAUCUAAUACAUUUAGUUCUUACGAACUUAGUUUUUAUUCACAUACUAUAUGUAACAUUGACGUAAUGUCUAUCUAAUCAUGCUAAAUAUGGGACGUUGAACUUGUAUGAAAAUUUACUUUUUUCCUAUUAUUCAUCUCGCAAUUUCCUAAUGAAGUAACUUAAUUAACUUAGGUAUUAGAGUAUAUGCAACAAGGACGCCUUUAGCCCUUAAAUAUCUCUAUUUAUGUGUUUAUAGGUUCUUUUCAAAAAAUGAACAUAUCUUAAUUAUUAAAAGAUACCUGUAAUACAAAGUAAGAUCAUUUCUCAUUAAAAGAAACAAUUAAAGGAUGACAAGAAACACAACAACAUGAAUGAGCCUUCAAAAACCAACUCCUAAACCUUAAAUGUCUGCUUUAAAUCAUAUGUUGAUCCUGUAUCACUAAUAAUCCCUAAACUAGAUAAGAUAAAUAAGACCUUCGGUCACAACAAGCUAAUUUACGAAUCUCGUAAUUUUAAGACUUGAUUAAACUUGUUACGAGAUAACUUAAAUUAACUCAUAGCACUACUAAUAAAAGAAGGUGGUCAAUUAAAAACUAUUUAAAACUGCAAAAAAAAGGGUAUGUUACGACUUGAUCCAUCAAAUGUAAUCAUAUAAUUUACUAUUUUGCCUAAAAAGUUCACGAUGAUGAUGUGAAGGAACCUUAUGUUGGCAACUCAAACUUGAAUAAUCAUAUCAAGCACAUCAAAGCUUUUAAUAUUAUGUACAAGGUAUUUUACUCCAUGUUGUGCCAAGUGUUCCAUUUUUUUCAAUAAAAAUGACUACCAAUUAGUACUUUUUCCUACCAAAAACUUAAUUUCUUUGUAAAAAAAAAAAAAAAAAAUUUAUGAGUAACUUCAUUAAUGGUAGAAACCAAUAAAAUAAAAAAAACCAUGACCAUACAACUAGUAAGAAAUUUACAACAAUAUUUAAAGAGCCUUGACUUAGAGAAUUUAUGAGUCUAAAACAUAAGCGAAACAAUUGUUUUAUUGUUCAUCAUAAAAACCUUAAAUUGAGUCUUUGUCGAAGAAGUAACAACAAACAUUAUUGAACUCUUCGUUGGAAUUAUUAAAAAAAAAAAAAAACAUCGAUAUAGGAGAGGCAACAAUAUAAAAUGGACUUGAGAAAAGAAACUCUGACUUUAUAAUUAUAUUAGCUAAAAUUUUGAAUUAAUGUUCUUAUAUUAUAAUAAUUAUAUAUUUGUGUUAAAUUUUAUUAAUAAAAAAUAAAAAUAAGAUGGAAAAUGACGUAAUAUUGUAAUUUCAUAAAGCAUGAAUAUAAAAAUAAAAUAAACAAUAAAAAAAUUCAACCAACUAAAAGUAAGAACAAUAAAAAUUUCAUUCAACCCUUAUCAUUCCUAAUCUACUUAGGACACUUUGUGGCGUUUAUACUUCUCCGUUAAGGAAUUACUUUUGAUGUUGUAUAAAAACACUCGUACGCAAAGUAUUGUGUGAAGAUUUACACCUAAAACCUGUCGUAGCGAAUUACUUUUAUCUCUUGAUUAAAGAAGUGUUUAAUUUUUAUUAAAAUCGCCACCGUAAAUUAGGUGACAUGAAAGAUCAAAACCUGCUCUGCUCUGCUCUGACUCUUCCUCUUCUCUCUACUUAAAACCUUAAGAGUAAACCCUGGGCCAAUGACCGGCGCUGGAGAAGACGCGCCGGCCCCGCUGGAGUCUAACGGCGGUGAAUUCUUGCUAUCUCUCAUCCAAAAGCCCCGGCAGCAGCAAACCUCACAGCAGAGUUUACCCAGUGGGUCCACUCCCAUUACUCCAAAGACUCUCCAUCAACAAUCUCUCGUUAUCGAUCCCGCUGUUGCGGCUGUUGGCCCCAGUAUAGCCUUACCGCCGUCACCGUGGCCAGCCAAUGGUUACGAUCUUCCUUCUCCAGUUGUCCAUCCUCCCUGGUCUCACCCUCUCGCCCCGCCUUUCCCUCCCGGUUUCUUAGGGUUCCCUCAAUUUCCGGGGAACCAUCUCUCCCCGAACCAAUUCCCGGGAAAUCAAAGGGUCUUGCCCGAGGAUCUUCACAAAUUGGGGUUUCAUGGAAACGCAAAGUACGGAAUUCACAACCUAGCCCAGCACAAGCAGCAGGAACAGCACAAGCUUGUGUUUGGCUCCUUGCCGAACAACAGUGUUCAGAGCCGUGAUGGAUUACUAAACGGAAGUUUACCAGAAAACUCCAAGUUCAAUUCAGUCAAAGACCUCGAGCACGAAGUGAGGAGUCGGCAGUUGAUGAAUUCCAAUUCCAGCCCAAACUCAUCUCAGCAUUGGAGUUUCGAUUCUGGUGAGCGGGAACGGAGAGGAGGAGUCGGAGGAGGAGGCAGCGGCAGAGGAGGCAGCGGCAGAGGAAAGCUGCAGCAGAGUGGGCAUUAUAAAUCCACGCCACCUCCUGGAUUCUCCAACAGGCAGAGAGGAGGCCAUUGGGAAUUUGGGACUAAUGAUAACAAUAGCAGGAGGAGGGGACCGGACCGUAAUGUGGGUAGGGCAAAGGGGGACAUGAGUGAACUGAGUAAUAGAAGUUCUCAGGCCGACAUUGAAGAAGAAAGAUUAAGGAGAUCAUCUAUUGUAGAUGGUAAUGAUGUCGGGCUCAGUGGACAGUUCAAUCACCCUGGUCUGCCUGCCGGGAGCAAUCUGCAUUCUGUUUCAGCAUCUGACGUUGAAGAUUCAAUGUUGGAGUUGCACUUUGGGGUUCCUGAAGAAGCAGAUGGAGAGGGUUACGAGAGGGAGGAGAGGUUGAGACGGGAAGGUGAAGAACUUGUUGAUUCUUUAUUGCUGGAGGGGGAAACCGAAGGAAGGGAUGAGAAGAGGCAGCAUCGAAACUUCCGUGAAAAGGUCUACUCACCAUACCAUCAUCUAUGAUUAUAAAUAUGUUCAAACAUAUCUUUAGUGAUUAGUAGUUUAUACCGAGGGAAUCCGGAAGUGGUAGGUAAAGACUUGUCGGAUGGUUAGUUCUAAGAAUGCACUGGUGGGUAUUUGGCACUAUGGUUAUUAAUCAGAGGAAACUAAAGGUUAUGCUAUUGUAAUUGCAUGUAUAUAAUGAGUGUGAAAGUGAAACUGGCACUGUAUUUGAGAAAUUGACCUUCACUUGGAAGGAUAGCAUUCUAUCUAUCUCUCCUGAAAGAUUAAGUUUAUGUUUAAAUGAGGGUUUCACUUUUUGUUUUGUUUUCAGGAAUCCCGAGUAGAUAGCCGGGGACAGCGUCUGCUUAGCCAAAGGCUGAGAAACUUAAGAAGGCACAUUGUAUGUCGCAGAGACAUAGAUAGCCUAAAUGCUCAUUUUCUUUCAAUUUACGAGUCUCUGAUGCCUCUGGAGGAAGAAAAAGCAAAGCAAAAGCAAUUGUUGAAGUUGUUGGAGAAAUUAGUUCGUGAAGAAUGGCCUGAAGCUCGGUUAUUCCUUUAUGGAUCAUGCGCUAAUUCAUUUGGAGUUUCUAAAAGUGACAUUGAUGUUUGCCUUGCAAUUGAGGACACAGGUACUAAAAAGUCCGAGAUAUUGUUGAAGCUGGCAGAUAUUUUGAAAUCAGACAAUCUCCAGAAUGUGCAGGUGACUGGCAGAUUUGCUAGAAAUGCUGUAUUAGCAAUUUACUUUAAAGAAAGAUAUAUUAGUGCCAAAUGGUUCCCGAUAUUUUUGUUUAAGCCCGAUAUGCAUUCUUAUUAAAUCUGUAUUGGGGUUUAGUUUACUGGAAGAAAGGUGUUGGGUAAAUCCGUCUUGGGAUUUAGUUCACUGAAAAGAUGACCCAGUGAUACCAUGCAAUAUCUAACUAGAUGUUCUUUUGCUAAUGUAACAGGCAUUAACUCGUGCUAGGGUCCCUAUAGUAAAGCUUAUGGAUCCAGUGACUGAACUAUCAUGUGACAUAUGUAUAAACAACAUUUUGGCUGUUGUAAAUACAAAGCUUCUUCGUGAUUAUGCACAAAUAGAUUCAAGAUUAAGGCAGUUGGCUUUUAUUGUGAAGCACUGGGCAAAGUCCAGAGGAGUUAAUGAAACUUAUCAGGGAACCCUAUCCAGCUAUGCGUAAGUGCUCUUUUUAAUGCUAUGCUAGAAUGUUUAUAACCUAAUACGUCAACUUGUAAUCUCAGUAGCAGCAUUAUUAGAAGCUUGAUUGUGGUGUGGUUAUAGUAGUAGGACGUGUGCAUGGUUAUCGUGUGCAUGGUUAGUGCUUUGUUCAAAAUUACAAUGGGCAAGUAGUCUAAGUAGGACCUAUGGUUGGUGCAUUAUUAGAAGCUUGACUGUGGUGUGGUUAUAGUAGUAGGACCUGUGCGUGGUUAGUGCUUUGUUCAAAAUUACAAUGGGCAAGUAGUCUAAGUAGGACCUAUGAUGUUUAUUUGCUCUUUAUAAUAAACUAUGUCACCUAAUUUCUAUUGUCUCUUCAGGUAUGUUUUAAUGUGCAUUCAUUUCUUACAGCAGCGCGAACCUGCUAUCCUUCCAUGCUUGCAGGUAUGUAUUCUUAAAUUUUCUUUUUAUGUUUUUUAUUUUAAAAAAAUCUUUUUAUGUUUUACUUUUCUCUUCUCACAUGAAGCUUUUGUAUGUGAGCAUUGUAGAUGUCUUCCCUGCCUUAGUGAGUUUACUAGGACUACUAAUUUUCUUUUCAAAAAAGGAACUUACGGACCUAAAUUUUUUUUGGGGGUAGGAGUAAAGUUGGCCACAGCCAGCAAGGUUUGCAUUCGAGUCUUCCUUGUUGGGAGGCUAGGAUAUGGCAACUUGCAACACAAGGCCUUGGUCUAUGAAUUAAUAAUUACUUUCAAUGCGGCAAAUAUUUACUACAGCUCUUUCACAUUUGUGCUUGAUAAGUUCAUAAUUGUUAUGUGCUCCAAUAGUUAAUAAAUUCAAUUGGCUUUGUAAUUGUAUGCCAAGGAAAAAAAAAGAAAUGGAUAAAUCUUUUUUAAAAGACGGAAAACAAAGAAGAAAAGGAUUACUUUUAGAAAUAAAUGAAACUCAAAUAAUCUAUCACCUAGAAGAUUGUCUAUACAUGUUUGGUCCCUAAAGUGGAUCUUGCCAUGGGUUUGUUGUGCAGGGAGAAUCCUUCGAUCAAAUAGGACUUGUUAAUAGAGAACCCUUCCUUUUCUGAAUUUGAUAUCAAAUACACACUUCAUUGAAGAUAAAUCUUGCCUCUCAAUGCACUGCCAGAAUUGCUGUUAUGAGUCUUUUAAGGUGAACUGUAGUAAAAUUAUUAUUGGUCAACCUAGUUUUUAAGAGAUUCUCUCAUUGGAAAAUUUAGGAAGAAUGGACUGUAAUUUCAAAGAUGUGUAUUCUAGUAAGUAGGUGUGAUAGUUCUGUGGAAUAAUCUGCCAUAGGCAGGAGGGUUUUUGUGUUAAGUUUGUUUGGGUAAGUCAAACCACCGAUUGUGGAUGUUAUUUCAGUUGCUGGUGUUAGGGAGGAUAGUUUGUAUCCCCAAGUAGGCAGUUAGGCUGUAAUUUACAGACCUAUAUAAUUAGGUUAUGUUAUGUGAUAUGUACGCAGACAGUUUGUCUUAAAAGUUUCUUAAGUACUUGACUUAAGGAGAUAUUUAGGUUCUUUCUUGAGGAGCCUUAGUAUUCAUCUUCACCAUCAGUUUGAAGGGAAGAAAGUACCCAGAGAAAAUCUGGUUCAUCUUUGUAAGGAGCCUUGGCAUCCAUUUUCAGUGUAGCCAUUUCUUUACCUUUGUUUGCUUUUGUUCAGUUUGCCAAAGGCAUAAAGGUGGAACAUUUGCAGCCUGCAGGGCUGCUUCAACGCUUGCCCAUUCGUACCCAGAUUUGGGACCGGACAUUUUAAUGGAUUUUGUGGAUGCUUGCCUUUGUCCCAUGGAAAUAUGGUUUUUAUUGGUCUGGNNNNNNNNNNNNNNNNNNNNNNNNNNNNNNNNNNUGUCAGUGAUCAGGAUAUGACUUUCACUCGUAACUUUGGAAAGGAACUGUCCCAUUUGAGUGGUGUCAAGUUCUCAUUUUCUUGCUGCCUAUCGUUCCUCAAAUGAUAGUCAAACUGAAGUCUGUCAACCAUACUGUGGUGAUGUAACAUGAGAAAACCAGUGAUAGACCGAAGAAUUUGAUCGAUUCGGUAGCUCGGGCUGAGUCCAUUUAUAAUACAGGCUACCAUCUACCCAUACAACUCUGUUCAGGUUGUUUAUGGCCGCCUCCUUCCGAAUUACUAUCCUAUUGUGGUGGUUUCUCUCAAUUGGAUGUCAUAUGUGAGUUGUAAAUGUGAGAUGAGAUUAUUCUUGACUUACAGGAUUCACUGCAAGAAGCUCAGAAUGUCAUGAAGACUAGUUAUGAUUCUUUCUGUCAUGAUCUCAAUUUAAUCCCGGGAAUUUGGUACUCCUUUUUUUACAACCUUAUCACCAGAUUUCUUUAGGGUCAAAAUGCUCAUACAAGAUGUCUCCUAGUAUUAUGGGAUUUCUCGGUGAUGCAACAAAUUUACUCGGUGGCCUAUUGAUUGGAACACUCUACAUUUUCUAAACUGCAUCCUUUCUUCCAUGUUUCCUGUCAAGAAAUUCCAUGGACAGCCACCAGCUCUACCUGUAUCGCCUUUACUAGAUCAGGGUCUUCCAGUUCUUACUCCAAAAGUAGUGUCAGACUUUCGCACUCAUGGAGACAAUCAGGAAGCUCUUAUUUGCUGGGAUGCCUUAUCUCCUGCUGAAGAAUCAUUGGAAUUAGUAGGUCAGCUGCUGCUGCAUUAUCCUAAUUGUGACACGCACAUUUUCAUGGAGGAGAAUAUUGUUAACAGGUCCUCUUGCAGGUGAACCAGGAAUUGCUUGGUCAACCAAGUUUACAUAAUUUACCAAGUAGUUUAGAGGUCCUCAUGGAAAUUUUGGAAGAAUUAACUGCAUUUUGAAGGAUGCAUAUUUUACCAAGUAGUUGUGGUAGUUGUGUGGGAAACUGUCAUGGAAGGAGGGUUCUUAUGUUAAGUUUGUUUGAAUAAGUGAAACUAUGUGUUCGGAUUUUUUGUUUUUUUUGGGGGGGGGGGGGGGUUGGUUGUUGCAUUUUUUUAUCCCUAAGAAGGCAGUUAGGUUGUCAGUUAGGUUCUAAUUGACAGACAUAUAAUUGGGUUCUGUUGUAUGACAUAUAUGUGGAACGUGUCACCUUCGCGAUAAGUUUCUAAGGGAAGAAAAAACCAGAGAAAAUAUGGUUCAUCUCUAACAGCUUUCAACCUCUAGGGAACCGUAACUGGAUCCUUCUGUACCUGUCUUCUCUAGGACAAGAUAAAAACCUCCCUAAAGGAUAGGUAACUUCCGUAAUUGAUUAAACCAAUUCAUACAUCUAAUAUAGAGUAACUGUAAUAAUAAGGACAGAAAGUUGGACAGUCUGCCGUAGAUCAGAUAAAUUAAAAAAAACUGUCUGCAGGAGAUUCUGUAUGGAGCUAACAAACUCUCUGUAAGAAAUAAUAUUUCUUGCUCAUGCUUCCAUCUGCAAACCUUAAUAAUUUUACUAUAGUGGAUAAUAACAGUACCAUUCCUGUCGAUUUUAUUUAAAUUUUCAUUUUUUUCUCCUGUUCUCCCUGAAUGCUGCUUUGAUUGACCAAAACAUGUGAUAGAUUACAGAUCAGGUUCAGCUUUUCUAGCUCAAGUACAUCUAAGGUUUGCUUGCUCACUAAUCUUUCCAUUUUUACUCGAGUACUAUUCUAUAUUGAUUGUGUAGCUAAAACAAUAAACUCUCGAGGAAAACAUGAUUUUUGAUUUUGUCUAAUGUGCGACUAAAAUGCAUUGCUGUGUAUUUGAUGUGGACCAAUGUACUUUUGUCAUGUUUCUUUUGGGUACAGUGUAUGUGGAUUAUAUCAUCUGAAAAGUGUUUGCUGUCGUUGUGUAGUCGGAUGGUAUUUGAGGUGUUUUUCUUCGUCUCUCUAAUCUGUGCAUACCAAUUAUAUUUCAGGGUAUGGAGGUAACUUACUCUGUUACCAUAGAAGAUGUUGAAUGUGCUUUUUUCGACCAAGUUGAAAAGCUUCAAAAUUUUGGAUCCCAUAAUAAGGAAACUAUUGCUCAGUUGGUAUGGGGUUUUUUUAAUUAUUGGGCAUAUUGUCAUGAUUAUGCAAAUUCAGUCAUAUCUGUCCGAACAGGAAGCAUAAUCAGGUGAGUUUCCAUUUGCAUAAUUGAAGGAUUUAUACUUGUUUGGAUGCUAUAGAGGAUUUUGUUCAUUAGUAAGAUUGAUUGAUGAAUAAUAGAAUUUAUAAGUUUAUCAAAUAUUUGAUAUGUGUGAUUGGUCUUUGUUCUAGUUGGUUUGCUUCACAAGAUGCUGCUUCUAGUAGUAACCUAUCUCCAUGUAUUUGCUUCGGGCUUAUGUGAUAGGGGUCUUAAAAGUUUUUUUUUUUUUUUUAAAAAAUGAAAAACAUGUCUAAAAAUUGCUUACUUUUUCAGCAAGCGAGAAAAGGACUGGACAAGGAGGAUCGGAAAUGAUCGACAUUUAAUAUGCAUAGAGGAUCCAUUUGAGAUAAGUCAUGACCUGGGUCGAGUGGUAGACAAAUUCAGCAUAAAAGUUCUGAGGGAGGAGUUUGAACGUGCUGCCGAAAUUAUGCAGUAUAACCCUAAUCCUUGUGCAGCUCUUUUUGAACCCUAUAUUCCCGGUUAGAUAGUACUUAAAUUUUGGGUAUAUCAGAUGUAAUUAUGUAGUAAAUAAUUGAGUAUGUAGAGUUCCCAGAGCGGGCUUUGCGAUAUGUAUUCAAGGGUUUUUUUUUUCUUUCUUCUAAAUUAUCUUGGGGCUGUAUGGGCUCCUCGGUAAAUAACAAGCUACUGGGUUUUAUCGUAGAAUAUCUCCAAUUAAGAUUUCUAGUUUGUUGCUUAUUUUAUAUGCCAUUCUCAACAACUUGGGGGGGGGGGGGGAGGUACCAUGUCCAUGGCCAUGGGAAGACCGUCAAAAGUGUCUUUGCUUUUAUUUUAACAAGCCCGUUUUGAUUAAUAAAGCCAACUUAUUAGUCGUUAUGUAAUAUAUAUAUUUUGUUUGCUUGCUUGCUAUAAUGAAAUUCAAUUUGGUUUGGUUUCGUGUCUUAUUUUGAAGUGGAGAUCACAUGCACUAAUUUACCAAAUACAUUUUGGUUGCUAGUAGGGUGGCCUCUAAAGGAAUCAAUGCCGGGUGGGGAGAUUUGGGGAAAGAUGGUGAUGCGUAUGUAGUUAGUUAUAUGGUGCCGAAUGUUUUUCAGGUAUUUGAGGUUUUGAAACAUACUGGAUGAUAUUUUAGUGGUCGGCAUUGUCCCUUUCAUUACGUAGUGCAUUUGUAUAUUUUAAAGUAGUUAUGGCCAACCAAUGUCACAUCAUACUACUCUCUCCUGUUGCCAUAGCUCAUCAGUGACGCCAACAUUGUGUUUUUAUCUUGUGAAUCAGCAUAAUUAUAAAUUUAUAUAUAAAUAUAUAUAUAUAUAUAUAUAUUACCUCUUUCUGUUUUCUUAUAUUAUAAUAAUAAUAAUAAUAAUAAUAAUAAUGUGGUCGCACCAGUUUUAGAGUUGUUUUAUUUUUUCCUAUUUGACCAAUUACUUUCUUCUACGUGGGAAAAAAAAAAAAAAAGUGUUGGAGACCUGGUCCAUGGAGCUUUCGUUAAUUUGUGUCUAAUGCAAAGUUGAUAAUUAUAAUUAUGCUCUCUCCCUUCAAGGCUUUAUAUAUAUAUAUAUAUAUAUGCGUGUGUGUUUUUAUAGAUGUAUGUACGUAUGCUUAUACCUUGUACUGUUCAUCAUCAAGAUGAGAUUUUAUACUGCACGAAAGCAAUAAUGGUGUUCACCAUCAUUCAACUACAAAAACAAAUGGCUGACUAUAUAUACAUAUAUAUAUAUAUGUAAAUACACACAAGGGAUUGAAAAGAGAGAACCAAAGUUGUUGGUUUGACUUUUGAGAAACAAUGUUUAGAACACAUAAAGAGCUAUAUCGUGGGAUACACACACGCAAAGUCAACCCAACAACUUAAAAGUCUCCUUUUUUAUAUAAAUAAAAAAACCAGCUUUCUUCUUUUUUUUUUUAAUUAAAAAUCAGUACAAAAAAUAAUUACUUUAAAUUAACUACAUAAAAAUAUAAAUUAAUUUUAGACAAUUUAUUUAUUCAAUAGAAACAUAUUAAAAUUAAUUUAAUAUUAAAAAAAAUUGUUAUGAGCAUCGAUAUAUAUAUAUAUAUAUUUUGAAUUAAAGAAGAAAAAAUCCGACUAAUUAUAAUCAGAAUUAAUUUUUUGAUUUAGAGUUAUCCAAGAAACAUUUUUUCAGUACAGCCUUGUCUUACUUGUAUGUAUUGUUCUAAUUUGUCUUAUUUCAAGACAAAACACAAAACAAAAGAUGCACUUAACUCAAGCACUUGUUUACAAACAACUGUGUAUGUACAUGUGUGUUUAUAUAUGCACUUGUUUACAACUCCUCUGUGUGUGUGUGUGUGUGUGUGUGUGUGUGUCUAUAUAUAUAUACACACACACAUGGAGCAAAAAAAAAAAAAAAUAUAUAUAUAUAUAUAUAUACAAUUAGAGACAGGUAUGACGCAAGGGUGAAAUCAAUUAGAUUCCCAUAAAUUUGUUCUUCGACCUCCCCGAUGAACACUUUUGGCACUUUAUGAUGUACGUUUCCUUAAUUAAUUAUAGUAUUUUCAAGCCAAUUAUUUUAUAUUUUUGAAAAAUAAUUUUAAAUACAUUUUUUUAAAAUUAAUUUAGUUAGUCUUAUCUUUACUCUUAAAAUAGAAUACAUUCAAAAUCAAACUCAUAUUAUCAAAGAUAAGAUUACCUUAUUAUUUUUUUACUCUUUCGUGAGAUUCAAUAUCCAAAUCCUAUUUUUUAUGAUUCAAACUUAUAUAUAUAUAUAUAUAUAUAUAUAUAUAUAUAUAUAUGUGGAUUUUGUAUAUACUUUCCUUAAAAUAUUACUUAAUAUUAUUAUUAGUUAACAACUGAGACUUAAUUAUUUAAAUAUAUGAAGUUUAACCACAAUAACUUUUUACUAUUAUUAGCAUUUUUAAGCCAAUUAUUUUAUUUAUAUACAUAUAUAUAUAAAUUAUCUUCUUGAAAAAUAAUUUUAAGGACAUUUUUUAAAAUUAAUUUCAUUAAUCUUAUCUUUAUUCUUGAAACAGGAUAGAUACAAAAUUAAACCCAAAUCAUCAACACAUAAAUGUCUUAUGAUAAUUUUUCUUUUUUUAAUGAGAUUAUGGAUUCAGAUUGGAUAAUACAUUUCAUCUAAUCUAUAGAUUUUUUGUAUAUUCUCAUAAAAAUGUUGAUUUUAUACUAUUUUAAAAAUAUGCCUCCACUAAACCCAUAUCAAUAUACAUAUAUAUCUCUCUCUAUAUAUAUAAUAUACAGGGGCAGCUCCUUCUCUGUGUGUGUAUAUAUACAUUAACCUCUCUUCUUUUAAUUCAACUCAAAGACUUGACCAUCAUCGCCAAAUAUUUCAACAGAAACAAUGUCUCCUGCUCAGAUUCUUCCGGUUCAUGCAGAAACCAACACGAGAUCAAAAUAUGGGGAAGGUUAUUCAAUAGUUUUCGACGCGUCGGUGAUCCAAUCAGAAUCCAAUAUACCCUCCGAAUUCAUAUGGCCGGACGAGGAUCAGCCAAGCCCAGACCCACCGGAGCUCGACGUUCCUGUGAUCGACCUCGCAGACUUCUUUUCUGAAGACGAGGAGACCAUUUCCAGAGCUUCGAAGCUUCUGAAUGAAGCAUGCAAGAAGCAUGGAUUCUUUGUGGUGGUCAACCAUGGGGUGAAGCGGGAGAUUGUGGCGAAAGCCGAGAAGUACAUGGACUUGUUCUUUGGGAUGAAGCUGAAGGAGAAGCAAAGGGCGCAGAGAAAGGUGGGAGAAAGCCUUGGAUAUACAAGUAGUUAUACUGGUAGAUUCAACAGUAAUCUUCCAUGGAAGGAGACUUUUACGUUUACAUAUUCCGGCGAUCCUGAAAAAACCAACAUUGUCCAAAAGUAUAUCGCAGAUACACUCGGUGAAGAUUUCACAGAAUUCGGGUAAGAAGAAAGGAUCUCCAUUUAGUUUUUAACCUAAAUCUUUUUCUUUAAUAAAAAAUAAAAAUAUUUUACGAAACAGUUAAUACGGACAAAUAAUAAUAUAAUUAAAAUAUUUAAACAGCAACCUAAUUAAUUAAUGAAUUAAUAUUCAAGGAUGCAAACAAAUAGAAUUAAUUAUUGUCACGACAAAAACAAGACAGAUGAAAUAAUUCAAUAACUCCUUUACUAUAAUCAUGCAUGCAUCCAAUAUUACGAUGUGGUGCUUCAUAUGGAUAUAACAUAUGCUGGCAUUGGUGGAGAAUUAAUGUUUUCUUUCCCAAAUGGAAUAUAUAUUUGAAUUUGAAAAAAUAAUUUUUCGAACAAUAUCUAGUUUUACAACAUUAUCAAUAUCGGUAUAUUUCUCAAAUCAUAAUCGUUUAAAGUGAUCAUAUUUUUCAAUAACGUACAAACGUACGUACGUACGUACAUAUAUAUACAAUAUAUUAUAAGGUAUUUAUCUUCAUUUCUUGACUUAACUAUGAUUCGUGAGUAAAUUAGAAAGGUGUACCAAGAAUACUGUGACGAAAUGGGGGAACUGCUGGUUGCGAUAUUGGAGGUGUUAGGGAUGAGUCUAGGCAUUGGGAAGGAGUUCUUGAAGGAAUUUUAUUCAGAUCAUGAGUCUCUGGUUAGAUUGAAUUACUACCCACCAUGCCAGACGCCAAAUUUAACCCUAGGAACUGGGCCUCAUUGUGAUCCAACCUCCAUAACAAUCCUCCAUCAGACCAAAUCGGCGGCCUUGAAGUUCUCUACGAUGGAAAAUGGCAGAACGUUCGCCCCAUUCCAAAUUCUUUUGUCAUAAAUAUUGGCGACACCUUCAUGGUAAAACAUUAUCUAUUUUUUUUUAUAAAAAAAUACCUCUUAAUUCAUUAUUAUAAUAUUGAUGUAUGUAUGUCUGUAAAUGCAGGCUCUAUCAAAUGAUAUAUACAAGAGUUGCUUACACAGAGCAGUCGUGAACAGUCGGUGUGUGAGGAAAUCUAUUGGGUUCUUCGCGAAUCCAAGAGCAAACAAGGUGGUGACGCCACCGCUGAGCUUGGUUACAGCUGAAAAUCCAAGAGUAUAUCCAGAUUUUAACUGGGAGACUUUUCUUAACUAUACGCAGAAAUAUUAUCGACCUGAUAUAAAAACUCUUGAUGCAUUCAGCAAUUGGCUCCAAAAGAAUGCCACCGUUUGAGAAAGUUUUCUCAAAGAAGAAGAAGAAGAAGAAGAAGAAGAAGAAGAAGAAGAAGAAUAAGAAGAAAAACUUCCCACAAAGCAGAAUGGCUCUAUCUUUUGAACUCUGGACUCUCGUAUCUUUCCUUUUUAUGUGUGUUUUAUUUUGUAAUAAAGAUUCUAUUUUUCAGAGAAAAAAAAAAAAAAAGAAGAGAAGAAGAAGAAGAAGAAGAAGCAGACUCAUUUAUGUUUCUCAUGCUCAUGUUUGACUUGUAAAAAAUGAAUAAAUGUAGGGUUUUUCAAGCUUUCAGUAUCUGUGUUCUUACAUGUCUGAUAAUAGCUGUGCGUGUGUGUGCGUGUGUGUGUGCAUAUAUAUAUAUAUAUAUAUAUAUAUAUAUAUAUAUAUGUAUAUACCGUAUGUAUUUUAGCAAAUACAAGAAAUAAAGGAAGCUGGCAUAUAAGACUUUGGCAUCAAAAUCAAACUAGUGGCAGCACUAGCACAUUGCUCCAGCUUCAGAAAUCAAUGGUUAAUUAUUUUUUAAAAAUCUAUGAACUAAAAUGUCAAAUAUAAAAAGGUCAAUGACAGAACUAUUUAAAUUACACGAAAAAUAAUUGUUGUUGAGCUAUGUAAACAAUUCAUCUAAACUAUACAGCAUAAAUUAAAACAAACAAAAUAAUAUAUAUUAUAUAUUCAAUAAUUUAAAUAAAAAAUAAAAAAUUAACUACUACUACUUAAUUGAAUACGUAAUAUAUUUAUUUUAUUUAUAAAAAAUUAUGAGUUUAAAUUAAAUUACUAUUAUAUAAAUUUUUAUUAAAAAUAAAAGAAAAUGUAUAUAGUAAUUUUUUUUUUUUGAAGUUAUAAUAAAUUAUUUUGGUGAAACUGUAAUUUAAUGUUAGUGUUGGAGGGAAUCAUAUAUAUAAAAUGAAAGAAAUUUGGGAAUAAAUUAAAGAGCCUAAUGGCUUCCAAAACCUUUUCUUUUUUGUAAUUUAUAUUCCCAAGCCUCCAAAUACAUAUCACUUAACCCCGAAACCAACAAAACAAAACAAAAAAAAAAAAAAAGUGUAGAUUACAAGUAGAAGUACUUGGAAUUACUGUUCAAAAGUAUUAGAAUAUAUUUUGAAAACAAGUGUGUGUAAAAUCAUUGAGCCCCACUCUCUUGGAAUGCACUAGUAUAGAAAUUCAGAAUAAUUCUGAGCAAAUCAAUCAUCAAUCACACCAGCAUUGUGGUAGACAAAUCUUGAAAUCACCUUUUGGAACCAGCUCAAUUCUGACCCUCCCCACCACUUCAAACUAUUGCAGUCAAGGCCCUCAUCAUCACCGUACCUAUUUUGCCUACUCCAAACUUCCAUUCCCAUUUUAACAAUAUAUCAACAAAAACUACUUCAAAUAAUAAUAUAUUUCAGUCAUUCAAGAGUCUACCGUAAAACUCAUUAUUUUAUUAUAAAAAUGACAAGACAAGAAAAAAAAAAAAACAAAACACAUGGAAUUAUUACCUUCGGUAUUACCCAAAAGUGAAUUCAUCAGGGUACAUGGUCUAUGAAACCGCUAAACUAAUUUGACAUUAGAAUAAGGGUAUAACAACAUUGGUUUGACAAGAUUCUCAAAGCAAACUGACCGAAUCCCUCUUGUUCGCAUACAAUGCAAUCACAUCAUGUUCACUGCAUCCGUACAGAUUGUAGGGUUUAUUUUAAAGAUAAUGGGAAACAGGGGCGAUCCAUUUCUGAUUCAUUGUAUCAAGAGUUGAGAUAGAAAAAGAAAAAGGUUCGUUUUAAGUGGGCAGCAACAGAUUUUUGUGAAGGAGAAGGAAAUUAGAAUAUGCACAGCUAGUUAUUUCACAGAUACCAAAUUGUAUCACAUCCAAAGGUCAAAUGCCACAAAAAGCAACUACAAAUAGAAGAUCUGCGGAAAAGACGAGAGCAAAAGAGAAAUUCGGAAUAAAACAAAAACGAUGAUGAACCGUGUAUUCGGCAUAAUACGAGGCACAAGUGGAGAUUAGCACUCCUUCCUGUUUAUUGCACUUUUUGUUAGAAGUGGGUGAUCCAAACAGAAUGCUCUACGUACAUUUAAAUGCCUUCCUACUCUACUAUCAGCUCAUGUUACUAAUCCCCCCCCCCCCCACACACUCCUGCAGAGAAGUUAAAAGUGAAUAAUGAGAAAAGUCAGAGGCCCAACCCAUUCUUACCAAUGAUGCUUUGAAAAUUUUAAAUAUGCCUGCAAUGACUGUAAAGUCCUGUGUGAAUGUUCCCGUGUGAUUGGUUGAGAAAGCAACUGCCCACUACAACAUUUCAAGCAGCUCUUCUAUAAUAGUUUGUAUUAAUUAGUGCUGUUGAGAAUUACUUAGUCAAACUGCUUUUUAGUUAGUAUGUUAAUCUGGUAAAUUUGAUUAAUUCACAACCAGCCCAUAAUUAACUAUUGUUAGUUAGUUAACUCUAAAAUAGGUUUAACUAAUGUUGUGUAAUUCUAUUAUAAACACACGUGUAUAAAUAAGAAGGGGAAAGACAGAGAGAAGCAUUAACUCCUCUUCUUUGUUCCAGAACUUUUCGUUCAAAUAAGAAAAUCUUUCACCUCACCUCUGUUCAUGGUAUCAGAGCUCAGGUGAGCAACGUAUUAGAAUAGUGGUGUUCAUAAUGCAUCCGGAAGAGUAUUGACAACUACUAUUUCAAGCGGAAGUCCCAGAAUUUCUCUGGUGACAGCGCCCUUCAGUGGAAUGAACCAUCGUACAUGGAGCAAGUCUGUAAAAAUCGUUUUGGCAGCCAAACAGAAACUGGGGUUCAUAAAUGGAAAGAUUAGCAUGUCGCCAGAAGACUCUGUGGAGUACAAAGAUUGAUUCACAGGAUACGCGAUGGUGAUAUCGUGGAUUCUAGACUCGUUCCACGACGCAUUUUUCUGUGUAAAUUCGGCUCAAGAACUGUGGGAAAAGUUGAAGAAAAGGUUUGGAGUAUUUAAUGGUCCACAGGAGUAUCAAUUGAAGAGAGAGCUGGGUUCAGUAUCUCAAGGUAACGACUCCCUCACAACAUAUCAUAUCCAUUUAGUUUGAACUAGUUCCAUGGAAAAAAAAAAUCAUUCCAAGAUUGGCAACAGAUGUAUUUCUCCUCAAAUAGUCAUAAUAUAGUAACACCAGUUAACAGCAGAAUUUCUUCAAAUCAAAUGAGUAACUGUCAGGUGAAGAGGUAUUCACAUACUUUGUCCUUCUGUCUCCUCAGACUUAAAAAAGAAAUCAUUUGAUGUUUUUCAGAAGUUUACUAUUACAGAUUUGCUAUCAUGUCCCAAUGGGUUGUUACCAAAAGAACGAAUUUAACGAAUUAGAAAGAAUAAUAAGCAAUGUGGGAUACAGAGAUGGAAGUGCAGCGGAGAAAGCUAAGAUACAUCACUUCCUCGAGCGCGCACACACACACACACACUGGAGAGAGAGAGAGAGAGAGAGACAGAGAGCUUUUGACUGUACCUUAAAAGUUUUAUUAUCUCAUUCAUUCACUUAAGUUGCAGCUACGGAGAUAAGGAUGGUCAUACUUUAUGUACUUUGUCCAGUAAGGCCGGUAUUUUGUCAUUGCCAAUUCUAGCCAUGGUUUCAUAUUGCCAUUAUAAUGGAUGACUGCUGCAUUUUCAAUAUCCUUCUUAUCAAUGCUUGGAUUAUAACCCAACCCAAGUACAUGCCAAGACUUUUCAAGCGGGUGCGUUAACCGAUAGAAAGUAAUAAGUCCUGGAGGCAGUGUUCCGAGCUUCCAGAGCACUCUGUCUUCAUUCUGCCAUCAGCAUAAAAGUAAGGAAACACAAAAUUAAUUUUGAAUAUAAGUGCACUUUUUCAAAGAAGAAAUGCAAUCAAUGGAAUGGGCAGGUUUACCAAAAUGCAAAAGAAUGGGAUCCUCUAAUUACUCUACCCAAAGAUCAUCAGAUGUGCAUUUUUUUCCUUUUAAUUUAAUGCACGGUACUAAAGGUCCAAAUUUGGCGCCAGUUAUAGAAAACAAACAAAAAUUUUAAUUCAGUUAGAUAAUCGGGUUUAGUAAUUGAUUUUCAUAAAUAGCACCAAAUAAGUUUAUUAUUUAUGGAUAAGAUAGGAAUCUAAAAUUAUUUUUACCCAAUUAUCUUUAUCUUCGUAUUCCAUUUCAUUCUUGCAAUUUUGGCGACUCAAUGCAUGAUUUUUUAAAAAAAAAUUUGAUAUUUCUUAAUGCAUUAACCACACUAAAAGUAUUAACUUUUAGAAUUCUUUUUAAAUUAUCAUGUAAUGCAUUAUGAAUGAUUUUAUAAUAAUUUCUUUUAUUGCUGAAAAAAAAAAUAGAUUUUUGAUAUUUCAGAAAAACCAAAAACUAACCAAUAAAGCAAGCUUGGUAGUUUUUGUGUGCAGCCCCCAUUAUUUUAGAAAUAAUACUCUACUCUGGAUGCGUGGGUAAGUCUACUCUAGAUGCGUUGACAUAUUUAACAAAAUAAGCUUCCCUAAUAACUCUUUCUGAUGACAUAGCUAAAUCCAUGCUAUAACUACACUCAGCCAAUAAUGAAGGUGCUCUGUCUAGACUCAAAAGUAGUGCUAAAGCUAUCUAUUAUAGCAUUGCUAACUCCAGUAAGGUAAGCAUGUUGAUUUUAUUUGUGUGUACAAUUAUGGAAUGAGAAAAGAUAUGGGAUAAGAAAAUCACAUGCAAAAUGAGAAAUAUUUUUGCUUAUCUCUCACUUCAGCAAUUUUGGCAAUUAACGUGUUUGUAUGUACGAAGUUAUGGUGCAGGAAUAAGAGAAAACAUGAAAUCAGAAGGGAGGUUGCCAAAACUAACCAUGUUUUGCCACUUGUGAUAUAUGCCAGUGAUAUCCUUCUUUUUCCACUCCUUCAGAUCAAAAAUAUUCAUUCCAUAUGCCCAUCCACAAGCAUUUGGAUCAAAAUUUCUUGAAAUAUGAGGAUUUGAAAAGUUUAGAUACUUGUCAAAACGAUGAAAGCUUUCACCACAGGUUUCCACUGCACCGUUUACUUUUCCAUGGAGAUCCAAUGACCAUAAUGGAGUUAAAUCUUUCUGAACAACAAUGUCAUCAUCAAGAAACAGGAUUUUAUCCAACUUAGGGAUAUACCUGUGGCAGGUAGAACCUUAAGUGGUUAAGCAUAGAGAGAUACUUUGGGUUCCGAUACUUCAGAUUUGAAGAGCCAGAUGAAAGAGUGGUUGGGUGAUCUGCCUUAAAAUAAUACUCUUUCAUUGCUACAGACUCGAGUUGCCGUAGAACAGGGCAGUAAGAUGAGUUGAGCCACUUAAAUUCAUCCACAUUUUCCACAUGGAUGGUGGCCUUUCCAGGCGGAUUCAAGAGAAACCACAUGUUCAUCGCACCAAAGUUAAGUCUAUCGGUCACAAGAUGGAAAACAUGCUUUGAAGGAUCCUGCAAAUUCCCAAGGGAACAUUUAAUAGAAGACAACAAAUUAACUCUAGCAUUAUUGGAUUCAUAAGGAGCAGAAGAUGAUACAAAAACAGACGGCUGAGGAAGAUAAAGGAAAACAUGUGGACCAGCUCUUUUAAGAGCUAUCAUUACAUUACCUUGGCAUUGGUGAUGGUUGAAUUGACAACAACCGAUGCAGCCAAUACAUUAUCAGAGAACAAGGCAUAAUGAUGGAGAUUAGGAUUUUCCAAAUUCUCACUUCUAGGGAACUUUCUCUUUUCUGGAGGGAGGAGAUAGUAAUCUAUGGUCAAACGCAUAGACAAGCAAUGGAUAGCAUUAGGAAUUGUUUUGGCAGCUAACUGAGACAGGAAAGUGCUCUGCUUUUUCAAGCUUCUAACUUGUUCAUCUGCUGUCUGAAGCAUUGCCCUCAGUUUCCCGGUAACCAAUUUGCAGUCAUACAAUUGCGCCCUUGCUUUAGACAGAACUUGGCCCAUAGCUUUGAUCUUUUCAGGGGCACUAAACACGAAAAUCAAGCACAACACAAAGUUAAAAGUGCCUGACAGAACCACACUACCAAGAACAGAAUGAAAUUUGCAUAAUCAUGUGCGCUCAGGCAACGAAACCCUAGAUACCUAUGAUGUAGAUCAGCAUCCGCAGUUGCCUCUCCUACAGCACGCUGACUUUCUUUUAGUCGAGUCUGUAGUUCUUGAAGCAAUUCCGGCUUGUCCUUUAGCUUUGCAAUGCUCAAAUAAACCUUUGCCAUUAUGAUUUGAUCCCUUAUCAAGCGCACUGUUGAAUCAGAGUUUUCAUUCUCAUUUUCCUUUCUCCAUAUAUUAUACUUGCCCAGGACUGCAGAGUCCACUGAUUUAGAGCGCUCAAUCGCUGCAUUUUCAAGUUUUACAACCGCCUCAUCAUCUUGUUGCACCAACUCAGCCGCUCGUUUUUCACGUUUUUUAUCUCUUAAUUGCUGCAUCUCAUUAAAAAGAACAACUUAGAAACCAAUAUAACUAUUGCCAUAAUUGAAUCACUGAUUUAUUAUUGUUCACUUUUUUAAAGAAACUGAUACUGUUACACCAGAAAGGGCAUAUAGAGAAGAAAAAUGGAAUCGUUUCAUUUUAACUACUACAGCUUGCUCAGCCAACUUCAACCAAGGAAGCACAGAAGCCAAAAAAUAAUUAGUACGUAUGAUUGAUUCAAGAUUGCAAUUACCCUUCGGAAUAUCUUCGCAGGUGUAUCAGUGAAUUGACGACCAUCAUCUACAUUAAAUAACCAGGUCAGCAUGCGAUUGAGAAAGUAUCAAAACCACAUGAAGAUUAAUCAAGUAAUACAAGUCAUUACCUUGCAAUGAAUUAUUUUCUUUUUCUUUCGAGGUUCCUUGUUUGACAUCUGGAACUGUUUGGUUUGGCUUUAAGCAUGAACAAUCCAAAGACACCGCUAGAUCAGCAACCAUCAGAGGAAAUAAAUUAUCCAGUGGACAAAUUUACAAAACAUAAGCAGUUUGUCAUCCUUACCUGUGAGGCAAUAUUACUCUCAAAUGAAGGCUCUACUCCAACAACUUUCCAUGACGCAGAUAAAUUUGUUUUUCUAAAAGAAUCAAGACUUAAAGGUCCCAAAUUGGCAGUGCUGACAGUUAUGAUAUCAAGGACCUACAUUUUGUUUAUUUAAUAGGUAUCAGGUACAAAUAAAUAUGACUCAAAUUUAUCAUUUAAAAAAAUAUAACCAAGAUUUCACCAGAAUGCACUUGCCUCUUUUGAGAAAAGGGGUUUAACAAACUGCAAAGCUAACCUCUCUCUCCAAUCUAGAUUCUGCAACACAACCAAAUUUCUUCCCCAGUCACGUAAUUAGGAAGCAACCAAAACAUAAACAGUACAGACAGAAAGCUCUCAAGAAGGUACCUGCUUGCUCAGCCCAGUAUGAGUAUAAUUUCUAUCUGCACCACAGCACAAGUAAAUGAGGAUCAGUUCAAGCACAGGACCUUGAAAUCUAUAGCUACAUGUCUGUCGACCUUCUUCCUAUAAUUCCCCAGCAAUGAUCAAACACAGAUCUAAAAUCUUGAAACACAAUGAUGCGUGUGUGUGUGUGUAUAUACAUAGAAACACAUACACAUAGACAUAUACACAUAGAUACUUUGAGAUCAAAGAGCACCAAGAGGGUCUUGACCAGGUAGAAAAGAAACAUGCAAAUGGGUAGAAUUAUGGGCUAGUCAAUAAGUCCAUGCACUAUGUUGUCUCAUAAAUCUUCCGCCAAAUUAAGCGGAUGACCAUUGAAGAAAAAAAACAAGGGGUGUCGAACCAAAAAUGCUAAACUCUAUAUAUCCAAAAGAAAACAUCCUCAAAGGCUUUUCUGUUCUUUUGCUUCCAAAUAAACCAAAAGUAGCUAGAAAGAUAAGAGAGCAAAGCUUCUUCCUUCUCUUAUCCACUAUGAUGCCUCACCACGCCGACAACUCUUUUGCCACUAAACAAGCCAUGAUCUAAUGCACUUUUAAGAGAUCCAAGGUCUAGACCAUAAAACAUAUGAAGCGACACGUCUUAAUAAAAGAUGGUCCAGCAUCUCCACAGCAUUCCUGAACAGAAAACAACAAACACCAGAAUCUUAUCUUUUUUGGUGAGAUUGUCAAUAGUCAGGAUACACCCAUUGGCAGCUUCCAGAGCAAUAAAAGCAAUUCUAGAACAAGUAUUUUUCCUCCAAAUCUGCUUCCAUGGGAAAACGAAAGGACAUGGGGAGGGGCGAGUGAUGUGGACAUAGAAUGACUUUAUCAAAAAGUUGUUUUAUAUAUAAUAUAUAUAUCAAACAAUUUAAUAUUUAUCAAGUUAUCCAAAUUUCUAUAUGUAUGAGUCCAGAACAUGGAUGUAGGUUUUUUAACAAAUAAAAUAACAAGAGAAACUUGAAUAUUGAAGCUUUGCCCUGAAAAAGAGAAGAAAGAAUAUAGUGUCACUCACAAAUAACAUAAGUUAGAGAAUUGAUCUAGGAAGUCAAAGAUGACAAAAACAUAUGUUAGGAUUCUAGAGAUUCAUAUCACAGCAGCAGUAUGCUUAGGACAGUGUCCCAAGUCCAACUUAAACAGAACUCUUCAGAAUACUAUUUGUUCCAGAAAUUCAAGUUGUGAUCCUUGUGCAUGAUAGGGAGACUAGAUGAAUGAAGCGGACGGAUCUGCCAACUAACUUCUAGGUUUUUUCCUUUUAAAGGGGAGGCGAGGGGAUACUGUGAUUCUGUCCCAGGCUGGAAGACAGGGAUUGAACUCAAAAUGAGUUUGGCCUUGUUUCCAUCAUUUGUCAGUAACCGUCUAAGAAAUUAAUUUUGGAAAAGCAAUUAACAAAUGCCAGAGCAGCUGCAGUUCAGCCAAACAAGCAAUACAGGCAAAAGUUGAAAGAUAAACUGGAAAAAAAAGUGUUCAAAGAAAAAGAUAGUUGAAAUUGAGAGACAGUAAAUGUGGUCUAGAUGAUGGGCCGAAUGCUACGGGAAUAUGCAAAGAACUCUACUGUCAUAUUUAAACAGGGCAAGCUUCUUUCAACAUGACAGUAGGAACGAGUAGCACGAACAAAAACCAACCGGAACCUUAAAAACCUGUUGAACUGAACUUACUAGGGAGACUGGUUCAGUUUGUCCAUUUAAACGAGUUAAAAACCAGAAAAUCAUAUCCUUAAACAGUUUGGCUUUGGUUCCCAAAUUUAGGAACUGAACUGACUAAAAAACUAAUUAAGGUUUUUCUUUUUCAAAAAAUUAUUGAUCACAUAUAUAUAUAUACCGCUUUAGGGUUUUAAUGCACCUUCGCCCUCCUCCAAAUUCAAAAACCCAUUCACUUACCCACAGCCAAAGGCUGAGCUGCCUCAGCCCAAGGUCGAUCAUGCACAAAAAUCCCUCACCUCUCGCCUGUCAGCUCUCUGCCUCCAUCCAAGCAUGCAUGACUACUUGCCUCUAUGCACUGCACAAAUGCACCACCAGACCUCUCGCCUUUCUGCUCUCAGCGUUGCAAGCAUGAGUCAUAGGGUUAUAAAUUUUGAAAAAAAAGUCAUUUGGUUAAUAAUGGAACCAACCAAUUCUCUUUUGAUCGAUUCAGUUUCCAUUGAUCCAUAUGAUUAGAUCAGUUAUGAUGAUUCAGUCAGUUUGUUCGGCUUUAUAAAUUUUUUAACUGAACCAACAAAAACUUACCCCUAUGAAUGAGCUAACUAGAGAGGUUUUUCUUUCAAGGAAAGUAGACAGGUGAACUGAUCAGGCAUAACUUAGCACAACAUCAUUAGUUUCCUUUCACUCAUUUCUUCACCUUUAGGAGCCUUCAAUAGUUACCCACAUGCUCCUUAGUAAAUAUGAUGUAGGACAAACUAAUGCUAACUUGCAUACUUUGAUAUUUAGGGGCAACAACAUGCAUAUUAUACCUAGUGUUUCUUACAUAUCAUAUAUAAGAAGUCUUAAGCACCACUCAAGGAUUUGAUUGUACAAACUGAAAAUUACAUUUAUAAUGUUUUCCAGCUAAAGCUUCACAAAUAAGAUGCAAUUAAGAAAUAUCAAUAUUAAUUAUUUCAAAGAAAAAAGAAAUAUCAGUAUUAAUAGAAUUAAGAAAUAAUACUACUAAUAUAAACAGAAAAAAUAAAUACUAAUAAGAGUGAAAUACUAAAGUUAUUGAAACCAUAAUAGUAGAUUCCUAAUAGUAAAAUAGUCUUAUAUUCAAUAGAAUUAUGCUUUCCAAUCUAUUUAAUAGAAUGAUAAUAUUCUCAGUCCUUACCGUAAACCACAAACCACAAGGAUGAGAUAGAAGUUAUUUUUGACAAUCAAAAGCUAACUAAUUAUGAGAGUGGUACUUAUCACAAGUUUCCAGUGAAGUGAAAGGGACAUACUCAAACUGAUUGCACUUGGAUCAACAGAAGAUGAUCUCAAGAGGUGACCUUCCCAUGCACGCUACAUUCUAUGAUUUCUAAAUUCUAUGAUUUCUAACCUACUUGGGAAAUAAAGAGUUAAUCCAUUCAGCAUGAAGCAAUUCCUUGAAGUUCACAUACACCUUGACAAAAUGUAAUUACAUAAAUAUCUCACAACCAUGACUUCUCCUUUCAACAGAUAUUUAUUCUGAUCCAUUUCCUUGCCAUUCAUAUAUCUGUACUUUGCCAAAGCAGCCUUGCUGCACAUUUCAAACCAUUGUUAGCUUACACCCCUCAAUUUAGCCAUAAGGCCAACAACCUUAAAACAUGACUACCUUCCUCCUAUGUGGCUAUAUACAAGCAUCUCUGAAAAGAAAAAGGAAAGGACCAUCCACAAGCAUGACAUUAUAAAAUUGUCCAUAUUUAUUCCUAAGUGGCACAUACUCGAUGACUUAAGGCAUCUGUAAACAAAAAACCUCAACAGACACCUCAACCUUGUUACUCAACGCAUGAUAAUAAACCCUCAAUUACUUUUCAAAAUAAAUAAAUAACUAUCGAAUUGCAUCCAUAAAUAUCCUUUGAUGCUUUCUUAGAACUGGCAAAAGUUUUUAACUUCGCUUUUCAUAACUUCCCACCAACAAGCCCUAUAGUUACAUACCAUGAAUACUAAAAUUUUCGCUUGCUUAGGAGGAAAAAGGGAAGAAAGAAAAGGGAUCAGUACUAAAGAAAACUAGCAUUCAUAUUGAAAUUACUGCAUAGAUGCAAUUCCAACAAGAGUGAGACAAUAAAGUAAAAAAAAAAAACUCUACUGCAUUCUAUAGAUAUUUGGAAGAAAAUUAAAUUCUCUUCCAGUCAGAGUCAAGAAAAGGGAAAGUGUAAGAGUUUAAAAUCCAACCAAAAAUGAUCCAUACACAAAUCAAAGUGACGAAUAGCACGUAAACUGAAGUGAGAUCUGUAAAACGGCAUUGCUAAAAUGGAGAAAAUUGAGGAGGAAAUUAGUAAUGAGAACUAACCACCGGAAGCGCCAGUAUGUAGUCCACGACCGACAAAGAAAAUCAAGGGAGUGAGAACACAGAAGAAAACUAGAAGAGCGAUGGGGAGUCGAGAUCCAGCACUACCGCCUCUGCUCCUAGCUACACCGGUACUCGAUAAUCCACGCUUUAACGCCAUUUCCUAUCAAAAUCUGGAAUCAAGAACUCCGUGGAGAUAGUAAAGGUCGAAAAGCUAAACACAGCGAGUAAAGACUUACAAUUAGAUUUGGAGGAAGAUCACGUGAAGUUGAGAGGAGUAGCCGUUGACGAAUGUUUGUCAGUGAAAGUCCAUAGGACCAUAGCCAAGAAUCAGAUAGUGACAAGUGUUGAAAGAGUAGAAAAAAGAGGAGGUAGCUUAGAGAUGAAGGAAAAGGGAAGAAGAAAGUGAGAGGGGAGUUGUGGAGAAUUAAAGUGGGGGUCAAGGCAGCAGCAAAUUGAAAUUUGAGUCACAUUCGGGAGAGUAAUCGACAAAAUGAGAUAAUUUCUGUUGCCCUAAGUGAGAGAGAAAGAUGAAUACAGAUGAGGAUGGAGUCUGGCAAUCAUUUUCUUCUAAGGAUAUCGCCUUUUGUCUGUAAUUUUGGCCCCCUCCCUUUUUUUUUAAUUUUCAGUAAAUUUCAUUUUCUUGUUUCUUCCUGGUCGCAGAGCCUGACCAAUAAGGAACGGCGUCGUCUCUUACGGCAUCUACUAUAACCUAGUUUUUGAGGACAAAAUGGUGAUCAACUCGCAUGCCCUUGACAAGUUAAAAAUUAAAAUAUUUACCUUAAAAUUUUAUUUUUAAAAUCAAAUAGCUUUUUACGAAUAAAAAUAUAGGUUAAUAUUUUAGUCCCAUAAAAUUAUCUUAAUUAAAUAAACUUUAGCUAUCAUGAAAUAUUAAUUUUUUAUUUAAAAAAAUAUAAUAGACUUAAUAGUAAUUUACUCAAAUUGAUUAUUAUAAUAUUAAAAAUAUAUUAAUAAAUUAAAUUUUUAAUUUUAAAUAAAAUUUAAACUUAUAAUAUUCAAAUAAAAUAUAAAAUUUUUAACUAUUAAAUUGUUGACAUCAUGCAUUGACACUUACAUUGUUAUAAUAUAAGAUGCAUAAAUAUAUUGAUUACAUAUCUCAAAUAAAUUUCACAGGUUCAAAUUUUCAAUUAUCUGAAAUCAUAUUGGACCGCACCAGUUUGAACAAAACUAAAUCCAAAAAUAAAAUAUGAAAGUAGAAUUGUUCUCCAUUCAAUCUGUUUUUGAAAAUUUUAGAUCAAAAUAGACUAUUUCCUAUUUUGAAAAAUAAUAUAUUUAUAUUCUAAAAAUUUUAAAAAAUUACAAAUAAUGUACGUAUAUAUGAAAUUUAUAUUUUAUUUCGUUUAUUUUUUUCAAUUUAAUCAAUCGGCUCUCCUUGAAUCCUAAUCUCUAAAGUUAAGAGUAUGUACCGAUUCGAUCCACUUUUUCAAUCAGAAUUGAACAAUGAACUAGGGGCAAAAGUACAAUAUUUAGGGUGCUCAAUGAGUUUGUUGACCUGUAAAAAUAACACAGUAAACCUUUUAGGACUAGACACUUGGAACACGAACAGGUUUAAAAUAUAGAAACAUAAACAAUUAACUUUUUCAGAGUUUUACAGCAAUAGGAGGCUUUGGCUGGUAAAUCAAUCCCCGCAGCCUCCCAUGUAUAUAAUUUUAUAUGAAACUAUACUUCUAUUUACAUUCCAAACACAAUAAAAUUUUCAAACAAAUUUUCAAUUCCUCACCUAAAAUUCCUUAAUCUCAAACAUACUAAAUUAGAUUUUCUUUUCAUUCUAUUCUACCAGUAGUACCACAAGAUGGCACACACACAAACUCAAAAAAAAUGCAAAAAAAGAAAGAAAGCAUACACGAACCAUCCAACUCCCACAAGCGCAGUUGAAAAAAUAUAUUCAUCAAACAAACUGAAACUGAUGUAACAUGCAACAUGAACAAAGUCUGGCACCUGAAUACCACAACAUCCACACUCCUAUACGAAACAUAAAGAACCAAGAGCUUACAUAGAUUACGAUUUUCAAACAUUCUGAAAUACAAUUUCCUAUUCGCUCAAAUUGACACCUACAAAGGUAGCUCCCUAUCCGAAAUUGUGGAAAUCUUUGCAAGACAUUAGCAUCAUUUUGAUAGCCACAACAUUACCUCGGAUAAAAUUUGAAUCAAAAGAACUUCCCAAUGAUAAGCGAAUGAUACAAGUUAUCCUGAGAAACUAUUUGCAGUUCUUUUAAGCAGCCAUAACCUAGAAAAAGNNNNNNNN
Molecule: long non-coding RNA, 41619 nt
Filed under: Carica papaya (papaya)
Lineage: Eukaryota; Viridiplantae; Streptophyta; Magnoliopsida; Brassicales; Caricaceae
Description: long non-coding RNA (CPAP_LNC011310)
Source: RNAcentral